This 763-nucleotide long non-coding RNA is filed under the name Penaeus japonicus. RNAcentral's name for it is "uncharacterized LOC122250464". The record is from RNAcentral. Lineage: Eukaryota; Metazoa; Arthropoda; Malacostraca; Decapoda; Penaeidae.
GAUUCUGAAAUGACAUCGGAUUGCCUGCUGCAAAUUACUUGGCUGCUUUUAGGACAAAUCAGAUUAGUUUCCAAGCUGUCUCCCCCUGGUCUAUGUGUUAACCACUGGAGAUUUGUGAAAUCAACAUGCAGUUGGAAAUGAGCUUGCCUUUCAUGGAUAACUAUUUUAAAGAUUAUUGCUUCUCCAUGAUAUGUAGAAUUCUUCCAAAACCUCAGGUAAGAUGUAUUGAUUAUAGGUAACUGUAUUGAAGAUAACAUUUUCUUUUUAUCCGAUUGAGAUCUAAUUUGACUACAUUUGAUGUGGAUUGUCUGAAUGUUGAAUUAACUAUCCACCCUUCACACAUGGUCUCACUAGAUUUCAUUAAUUUUGAACCAACUAGACAAGUUUGCCUUGUUACUUUCUACAUUAAUAUUAAUGCAAACCUAAAAGAUCAGAGUAAAAAUUAAGAGCAUUAACCCAUUUUUGCCAGUUGACGUGCUAUCUCAAGGUUGAAAAAUAUCCCCGGACCCAGGUGAUACCCUGAGACGUAGUGCAUUUUCUGGCCGAGUCCAGGACAGGGCAAUGUGACGUUCUGAAAUAUCAGCAAUAAAUUGCUAGAUUGUUCUCAAAUAAUAAUUUUACAUAAUUUCUUGCUGUUACUUGGAAGAUGAAAUGAGAUUAGUUUCCAAGCUGUCUCCCCCUUGUCUAUGUGUUGAAGUAUGAAAUCCCCAAAACUGGUGGCAAAAUCAGCAGGUACUGUGAAGUGGAUCAUAAAGAUUUGAGG